RNAcentral lists this ribosomal RNA (699 nucleotides) under uncultured bacterium. RNAcentral's name for it is "bacterial SSU rRNA". It matches the Rfam family "Bacterial small subunit ribosomal RNA", at positions 382 to 1093 of the family's 1533-position model. The record is from RNAcentral.
CCUGAUCCAGCAAUGCCGCGUGUGUGAAGAAGGCCUUCGGGUUGUAAAGCACUUUUGUCCGGAAAGAAAUGGCUCUGGUUAAUACCUGGGGUCGAUGACGGUACCGGAAGAAUAAGGACCGGCUAACUACGUGCCAGCAGCCGCGGUAAUACGUAGGGUCCAAGCGUUAAUCGGAAUUACUGGGCGUAAAGCGUGCGCAGGCGGUUGUGCAAGACCGAUGUGAAAUCCCCGAGCUUAACUUGGGAAUUGCAUUGGUGACUGCACGGCUAGAGUGUGUCAGAGGGGGGUAGAAUUCCACGUGUAGCAGUGAAAUGCGUAGAGAUGUGGAGGAAUACCGAUGGCGAAGGCAGCCCCCUGGGAUAACACUGACGCUCAUGCACGAAAGCGUGGGGAGCAAACAGGAUUAGAUACCCUGGUAGUCCACGCCCUAAACGAUGUCAACUAGUUGUUGGGGAUUCAUUUCCUUAGUAACGUAGCUAACGCGUGAAGUUGACCGCCUGGGGAGUACGGUCGCAAGAUUAAAACUCAAAGGAAUUGACGGGGACCCGCACAAGCGGUGGAUGAUGUGGAUUAAUUCGAUGCACGCGAAAAACCUUACCUACCUUGACAUGCCACUAACGAAGCAGAAUGCAUUAUGUGUCGAAAAAAGUGGAAAGGUGUGAUGUGUGUCGCUCUGUCGGAAUUUGGUAGUCCCACACG